This 395-nucleotide ribosomal RNA is filed under the name uncultured bacterium. RNAcentral's name for it is "partial 16S ribosomal RNA". It matches the Rfam family "Bacterial small subunit ribosomal RNA", at positions 523 to 918 of the family's 1533-position model. The record is from RNAcentral.
AUACGUAGGGUGCAAGCGUUAAUCGGAAUUACUGGGCGUAAAGCGUGCGCAGGCGGGUUUGUAAGUCAGAAGGGAAAUCCCCGGGCUCAACCUGGGACCCGCCUUUGUUACUGCAAGGCUAGAGGACGGCAGAGGGGGAUGGAAUUCCGCGUGUAGGAGGGAAAUGCGUAGAUAUGCGGAGGAACACCGAUGGCGAAGGCAAUCCCCUGGGCCUGUACUGACGCUCAUGCACGAAAGCGUGGGGAGCAAACAGGAUUAGAUACCCUGGUAGUCCACGCCCUAAACGAUGUCAACUGGUUGUUGGGUCUUCAUUGACUCAGUAACGAAGCUAACGCGUGAAGUUGACCGCCUGGGGAGUACGGCCGCAAGGUUGAAACCCAAAUGAAUUGACGGGG